GUGCCAGCAGCCGCGGUAAUACGGAGGAUGCAAGCGUUAUCCGGAUUCAUUGGGUUUAAAGGGUGCGUAGGCGGCCUUUUAAGUCAGUGGUGAAAUCCUGCCGCUUAACGGUAGAAUUGCCAUUGAUACUGAAAGGCUUGAGUCCAGUUGAGGUAAGCGGAAUGUGUAGUGUAGCGGUGAAAUGCUUAGAUAUUACACAGAACACCAAUUGCGAAGGCAGCUUACUAAACUGGCACUGACGCUGAUGCACGAAAGCGUGGGGAGCGAACAGGAUUAGAUACCCGUGUAGUCC
This 292-nucleotide ribosomal RNA is filed under the name uncultured bacterium. RNAcentral's name for it is "partial 16S ribosomal RNA". It matches the Rfam family "Bacterial small subunit ribosomal RNA", at positions 505 to 796 of the family's 1533-position model. The record is from RNAcentral.